CGUUAGGUGGAUGACUUGGCUUAAAAUGCUGAAGAAGGACGUGGCAAGCUGCGAUAAGCUUUGGCGAGGCGCAUGCAGCCCUUGAACCAAAGAUUUCUGAAUGGGACAUCCCAUUAAAUCCGAAAGGAUAAGGAACACGAGGAAUUGAAGCGUCUUAGUACUCGUAGGAAAAGAAAUCAAUAGAGAUGCCGUGAGUAACAGCGAGCGAAAGCGGUAAAAAGCAAACUGAAUCUUCUGUAGAAAUAUAGAAGAGAUGUGGUGUUGUAGGACUUACUUAAGAUCUUAAUCAGAUGAGUUGAAGUUUUCUGGAAAGUUAUACUAUAAAGGGUGAUAGUCCCGUAAACUAAAUCUGGAAAGAUUUGUAAGUAUCCUGAGUACCAUGUAUUGGAUAUUACAUGGGAAUUUAGGAGGUAUUAACUUCUAACUUUAAAUACAUUUUAAGUCCGAUAGCGCAUAGUACUGUGAAGGAACGUUGAAAAGAACCUGUGAUAGGGAGUGAAAAGAUCCUGAAACCUAACGGUUACAGCAUGAUACUGCUCUACGGAGUUGUAUCGUACGUUUCGAAUAACGGGCCAGGGAGUGUAUCCAAGUGGCGAGAAUAAUCCUUAUUGGAGUAUUCAUAGGGAAACCAAAUAUCUGCAGUUUACGAGAGAUGAGGUGUGAAAGUGCCUUAAGUCACUUGAAUACGACCCGAAACCGGACGAUCUAACCCAAAAUAAGAUGAAGCCUUGGUAAUACGGGGUGGAGGUCUGUAGCGGUGCUGCGGGCAUGCGUUCGUGUAAUUUUGGGUUAGGGGUGAAAAGCCAAUCGAGUUCGGUGAUAGCUGGUUCCUGCCGAAAUAGGCUUAAGUCUAGUCUGAGAGGAGAUUACCAAGAAGGUAGAGCUACGGAUUUGGAAAUCCGGGGGUGAAAGCCUUCGCUUCCUCGUCCAACUCCAAAUAUCUUGGUGUCAUAGAAUCUUGGAAACGGCGGCUCUGGGGUAAGCUUGAGUUGCUAUGGGGGAACAACCCUUUCUGUAGUUAAGGUCCCUAAAUACUAUUUAAGUGUUAACGGGUAAAAAGUGUUAGUAAUCCGAGACAGCUGGGAGGUAUGCUUAGAAGCAGCAAUCCUUUAAAGAAAGCGUAAUAGCUCACCAGUCAAGAUUAUUAGCCUUGAAAAUGGACGGGGCUAAAAUAGUUACCGAUACUACAGACUUCUUUGUAUAAAGAAAGUGGUAGGCAGGCUUUCUUAGUGGGCAGAAGCUUCUUUGUAAAAAGGUGUGGACCAUUAAGAAAAGAGAAUCCUGGUGGUAGUAAGAUCUAAACAUGGUGAGAAUCCAUGAUACCGAAAGAGCAAGGGUUUCUUAGCAAUGUCAAUCAGCUAAGAGUAAGUUAAUCCUAACCCACUUCUUAACUGUUUGUGGGGAAUGGGAAACAGGUUAAUAUUCCUGUACUACUUAGGUACAUGCGGUAACGCAGGUUUAUUUGCUGACGUUUUGGGCUAAAACAACAUCUUUUUUUGGAUGCUAACUGAGAUAUUUCCAGGGAGUAUCGUAAUGGUGAGAACUGGAAAAAAUCAGGAAUGGCUGCAUUAAUGUAGUUUAUUUGAUGCCUGGAACCCGUGAAAAGGCAAAUAGAAAGGAUCCUAAGUAUUUAUACCGAGAACCAGCACUGGUGCUCUGGGUGAGAAGCCCAAGGUAUGAGGGUUUAAACUAAUUGAGGGAAUUCGGCAAAUUAGUUCUGUGCCUUUGGUAUAAGGAAUCCCUGUUUUCGUAUCUGCAUAGAUGCGUCUUCAGGGCUCAGUGACUAGGAGGAACCGACUGUUUAAUAAAAACUUAACAAUCCGCUAGCCUGUAAAGGUGUGUAUGGGUUGUGACGUCUGCCCAGUGCCUGUAUCUGAAACCUCUUUUCAAGGAGACGAAGGACAGGUAAACGGCGGGAAUAACUAUAAUUCUCUUAAGGUAAGCACGGAGUUGCCUUAACAAAAUCUGGCUAUAUGCUGGAAAAUCUCACGAAUCUUAUGAUAGGAUACUUUAUUAGCAAUAAUAAAGCGGACCCUAAAAAUUCAUAAGUGGAGACGAUCAGCAGGAAAGACUAGAUAAAAAAUAUCUAGAAUCCUCAGAGACUAUACGCCAGAACUCAAAUUAAUUUUGAGUAAGAUAUAGUCCGACCCAUUAGGCGACUAAUGGAGAUAUGCAGAGAUGUAUAUCCGCCUUAAAUUAAGGUCAGUACCUUUUAUAGGGAAAGUAACAGAUGUGAGCGAAAUACCUUGUCGUUUGAAUGACGACGCGCAUGAAUGGCGUAACGAGUUCCUCACUGUCCCCAAUUAGUGUCCCCUGAACACACUAUACUGGUGCAAAAGCCAGUGACUUCCAGUGGGAAGCGAAGACCCCGUAGAACUUUACUGUAGCUUGUUGUUGUGAUGUAAAUUUUGGAGUGCAGUAUAGGUGGGAGUUGUUAAAACCUAGUCGCUAGGUUAGGUCUAGACAAAAGUGAGAUACCACCCUUCAGAAUUUAUAUCACUAAUUUCCUUUUUAGGAAAAACAGCAGCUGGCGGACAGUUUGGCUGGGGCGGCACCCUGCUGAAAAGAUAUCAGCAGGGCCCAAAGGUUGACUCAUCCAGUUUAGAAAUCUGGAGCAGAGUGCAAGAGCAAAAGUCAGCCUGACUGAAUUUCAAAAAGCACGAAAUUCAGAGACGAAAGUCUGGUCUAGCGAACCCCUAAGUCCUCAUUAAUAGGGGCUAGGGAUGACAGAAAAGCUAUCUCGGGGAUAAUUGAGUUGUAGCGCCUAAGAGCUCAUAUCGACGGCGCUGCUUGCUACUUCGAUGUCGGCUCACCGUAUCCUGGCUGUGCAGAAGCAGCCAAGGGUGGGGGUGUUCACCCAUUAAAACGGUUCGUGAGCUGGGUUAAGAACGUUGUGAGACAGUUUGUAUGAUAUCUACUGGAAGUGUAAAAUGUCUGAGAGCAAGGAUCCCUUAGUACGAGAGGAACGGGGGUUCGUGGCCUCUGGUUAAUCGGUUAUCUUACAAGGUAGGCCGAGCAGCUACGCCAUAAGGGAUAACUCCUGAAAGCAUCUAAGGAGGAAACUCCACUCAAAAAGAGACAU
Molecule: ribosomal RNA, 3082 nt
Filed under: Candidatus Altarchaeales archaeon
Lineage: Archaea; Nanobdellati; Candidatus Altarchaeota; Candidatus Altarchaeia; Candidatus Altarchaeales
Description: 23S ribosomal RNA
Rfam family: Archaeal large subunit ribosomal RNA
Source: RNAcentral